UAAUACAGAGGGUGCGAGCGUUAAUCGGAAUUACUGGGCGUAAAGCGCGCGUAGGCGGCUUUGCAAGUCGGGUGUGAAAUCCCCAGGCUUAACCUGGGAACUGCAUUCGAGACUGCAUUGCUAGAGUAUGGGAGAGGGAAGUGGAAUUUCCGGUGUAGCGGUGAAAUGCGUAGAUAUCGGAAGGAACAUCAGUGGCGAAAGCGA
This 204-nucleotide ribosomal RNA is filed under the name uncultured bacterium. Its description in RNAcentral is "partial 16S ribosomal RNA". It matches the Rfam family "Bacterial small subunit ribosomal RNA", at positions 521 to 724 of the family's 1533-position model. The record is from RNAcentral.